This 234-nucleotide long non-coding RNA is filed under the name Rosa chinensis. RNAcentral describes it as "sRNA RchiOBHm_Chr4g0420031". The record is from RNAcentral. Lineage: Eukaryota; Viridiplantae; Streptophyta; Magnoliopsida; Rosales; Rosaceae.
CGCCGACGUAACUUUCCGGCGUCGCUGCCGCCUCGUCCGGCCACCUAUGGCCAUGAAAUUGGUGUCCAUCUCUUCGUCUUGAAACAAGGUUUCUAUCUAUAUAUGCCUUGCACCCUAUCAUUCACCAUAGACGACGAAUCGAAGCCAACAAGUUCACUGUAGCAGUUUGGGAUUUUCGUCGAUUUCCGGCGAUUCCGGCCAUCUCCGGCCACCAAACCGGCGUCGAAGGAGCGG